GGAAAUAGCCCAGCACUGAAUCCCGCGGUUGUCACGGCCGCGGGAGAUGUGGUGUUCGGGAGGUUCCGCUUUCUCGUCGUCGCAUCUCCUGUCCAAGUUCGUCUUGAACGGGGCCGUUUUCCCGUAGAGGGUGCCAGGCCCGUAGAGACGGAGGGCGGCGGCGAGAGGGACUCUCCUCAGAGUCGGGUUGCUUGAGAGUGCAGCCCUAAGUGGGUGGUAAACUCCAUCUAAGGCUAAAUAUUACCGCGAGACCGAUAGCGAACAAGUACCG
This 271-nucleotide ribosomal RNA is filed under the name Stathmopoda auriferella. RNAcentral describes it as "partial 28S ribosomal RNA". It matches the Rfam family "Eukaryotic large subunit ribosomal RNA", at positions 100 to 353 of the family's 3401-position model. The record is from RNAcentral. Lineage: Eukaryota; Metazoa; Arthropoda; Insecta; Lepidoptera; Oecophoridae.